Non-coding RNA from Cordylochernes scorpioides, 65 nucleotides. NCBI's taxonomy places the organism in Eukaryota, Metazoa, Arthropoda, Arachnida, Pseudoscorpiones, Chernetidae. The record is from the annotation of a GenBank genome assembly.
GUCCAGGGGCGGGAAUCGAACCCACACCCUUCUGCUUACCUGCUUGUCCACUCGGCUACCCUGGA